Molecule: long non-coding RNA, 5476 nt
Organism: Numida meleagris (helmeted guineafowl)
Lineage: Eukaryota; Metazoa; Chordata; Aves; Galliformes; Numididae
Exons: 7
Source: RefSeq, a predicted model, not a curated record
ACGGCGGAGGCGGGAACGGGGGCUGAGGGGCGGGCGGCGGCGUUGGCGCUCAACGGCUGUUGUCAGUCAUAACCGUUGAAAAACAGUCACGUUAGUGCCAGUUUAUUAAAUCUUGUACAACUGCAUUUUUCACUGAGAGAAAUAAAGCACAAGGGUGCAGGUCAGGACGUCAAUGCGACCUAUUCCUGUCAUGUACCAGGCAGCAUAUGCUGCAGAAACAUUCUGUGACAAAUAGAUUUUCCCAUCUCAGCACGUUUUCCAGAUGAGUUAACAAAGCGAUUUCCAAAAGCUCUUUCAAAAUGAUAAUUCAGUAAAAAACAUUCCCAUCUUAAUCAGGUUUAGGGGGCAAAUCCCCACAUUGGAAUACAAACGUUUGCGCCAUGAGCAAGGAGCAAUGUAAAUGGAAAUACAAAAGUUUGCUCUAUGGGCAAGGAGUGCUCUUUUUGUAGGGUGCAGAAGUGUGCAAAAAGAAGAAAAUCCAUUUCUCCACAUCCCCACGUGCCUCAGGUCAUGGUGUGUGAUGGGGAAGUGAGGCACAAAGACCUGAGGACCUGAGGCACGCGGAGGGCAACCUCACUGUUCCUUGCAGAGACUUCUUGUGUCCAUUGUACUGCACAGCUUGGCCUAUUUAACAUUGCAGACAGUCUACUGGUGCUGCCCCCCUGCCUAACGUAAAUAGCAUUAAAUACACAAAGCUAGACAGCUGAAAAAGCUGCAGGAACAUGGAUGGGAGCACUGGGGGAAGGCUGAGACGUCUUCUGUCCGACAUGACACCACAGCCGGGGCCAAUAGCCUGCAUCCCUCUUUCUGACACUGCCCAUGUCAUUCCUUUCCCUCCUGGCACUUCCACUCUCAGGAACAGAUUUGUGUUUCCUAAUCAGUUGGCUUGCCUGUGGCAGAGAAUUCUUAUUUGUAAGUAAUGUCAUACUGGAUUUGUGAUACAAGCUUUUGCAAUCCCUUUGUUGUGCAAAUGCAGGCAAAUAACUGAAGUAAGACAACUGGCUUCAGUAGGAUUAUCCAUAAAAGAGUUAAGUGCUAUGUCAUAUGCAUAAAUAUCGCCCUCAGGAGCAGAUUCUGCAAUCAAGGACAACUCGAGUUUUGAAGAAGGAAGAGCUUCAGCAGCACUAGUCACUAAAGAAAUGAAGGAGAAAACCAGUUUCCUGUUCAGUUCAAAUGUGAGAGGUUUAGCAACAGUAUUAGCAAUAUAGCAUACUCACAUUUACAUCUCAAAGUAUCUUUCCCAAAUUGGAGGAGGAUUGUGUCACAUGUUGCAGGUAGGAGAGCAGCUGCAGGAGGAAGGAAUUGAGGGUAACCAAGCAUCCAUCCUAUGGGAAAACAAAAAUAGCACUUCUGGCUUCCAGCUUCUAGCCAGCAUCUCUCAGGAGGAAGGCAGCAAUGUCAGCAGGGUCUCUGGCCAGCUUGUAAAAUUAAUUUCAAAAUCUCUUAAGUACAUUCUAAAAAAGGAACAUUGAAGAGGGAAGAUAAACUGCAUGCUAUAAUUGGUAUUGCAAACAACAUUUUUAACAAUCAAAGGGAGCAUAGAAGCAGUUCUAGAACUUGCCAGUGUUUUUUUUUUUCCCAGUGUCACUCACUGCAUUAAUUCCUGUUAUCAUGUGGAAGUAGAUUCAGCAAUUUCCAAGGAAUUCUUGCCUGUUGUAUAGUUUUGCUAGUAGGUGAAAAGCCACAAUUAGACAAGUAGCAGGCAUUUCAUGAACAUUCACUGCUUUAGGCAAUGCCACAUUGCUCAAACUUUUUAUAAUUUAGAUGGGAUCUUGCAUUUGGAGUCCCCUAGGUGGCAAUUUACUAUUGGUUUUGGGUAGAAAUGUGGAAAAAUGGUAAUUGCGAUACCUGCCUUCAGCAGGUAAGAAAUGAAGGAAGUUGCUAAUCACAGCACAGGACUGUAGAUCUGCAGUCAGUUCCAAACGGAUGAGAUCUCUGACACUUCUGAUGUCUUGAGGUGGCUGUGAUGAUGUAAGUAGAACACUCGUGAUGUGGAUGAAAGAGAAAUGCUGUGUUUGUUCUUCACAAACAGGGAAAAGGAAGGGAGACCCUUUCCUACCUGAAACAUACUCAAGCAGCUGAACAAAGCAAUGAGCCCUUCCCACAGUCUGAAAUAUUAAAUGUCAGCAGUUUCCUUUUUGCUACAUCUCACAGUUCCCAGUAAAUGCCAUAGGGACACAAUGGGAACAGUGCUCUUCCAGUUAAGUUGCAUACACUCCAACACCAUUCAACAAAAGGAUACUCAACGCCCAGAGACAGAAAACGUAUAAUCUAAUGACUCAAUCUUUGUGCACAGAAAAAAAAAAAAAACUGUUUUGCAGAAAUUACAUGAAAACUGGAAAGUGAUGAUUUGUUUGAAAGGAAUACAGGAGGAAGGGAAGGGAGUUGCUAUAUGAGCCUCACAUUCUGUAGGAGAUAAUGGUGGAAUUUUUAUUGAUCUGGAGAGUUUGCUUAAGUAAGUGAGUUACUGGAAAAAAAAAAAUGCAGCAUUAUUUAUGUCUUGAAAUCUGGAAUAAGAGCUUGAAUUCUGAAUUGCAGGGGGAGCACAUUUGUGUCAACUCACUCUGUGUGUAAGCAGUAAGAUACCCAAACAGGAAUCAUAUCCAUUUUUUUUUCACUGCCUGUCAUUUGAGAGAGAGAGAGUUAGCUGCUGUGAGUGAGAAGAAACCAGCAGGUGAGCUGACAGCAGCGUUCCUGAGUGCUGAGAGGAUGCCUGUUCAUGGCUGUGACAGCAUAGGCUUGAUCUGCAGACCCUGAACUUGAUUCCACUGAUAUUAUCGCCUGCUGUGAAGGUUUGUAGAAUGAAAGAUGUAACUCCAGCUGAAGAACUGCUGACCAUGUUGAUGUGUCUCACCACUCUGCUGCCAGAUGAAUCGAAGCCACAGGGAGGGGAGCCCCAGGUCAAUCAGAGGAGCUGCAGGACAAGAAUUUUAGCUUACAGUAAAGUUUCAGUGAUGGUCACGGAUCUGCACAGCCACAGGUGGAUGUGUAUGGCAUGUAGACCAGGAAUGGUCUUCAUUAAGCAUAAGGCUCUGCUUAGGUCUGAUAUACCCAGACUUGUAUUACUUUCUCCUAGCCCCCACAGUUUCCCAAGAAAUUCACACUGCAGACACAGGUAUAUCAUUAAGAGGCUUCUUGAAGUGGUAAGAAAAUGGCACUGCACUUAAACCUGUCAACUGCUGAGACUCUGCUUGAAUAGUAACAAUGGCUGUAUUGAGCCAUGAGAUUCACACCAAGCCUGUCAUAUCUUUCUUUGGAUGCUGACAUUCCAAUUGCGUGUCAAACACUGCCUUAACACACAGGCAUGUUGUGAAAUAUGCUGUCAAAUAAUGCAAAUUGCAGACACUGCGCCGUGGUAUUUUGCUAAUCAUGGAGAUUUCACACAGUCCUUUAUAAUUCCUCUCCCAUUUUUUAUUUGAAAAGAAGUUAGGAUUUGGUCAUCGUGGACUGACCUUUAAAGGGGCUCUUGAAGGAUCUGGCAAUUUCAUAGGGGUGAUGUGAAUGGAACUCUCUGACCUCCUGCAGUGUUCCAGACCAGUUAAAUCCCAUUCCAGCAGCUCAUCACAGAGCUGCUGGCCCUACCAGGCAAGGCUGAGCACAGUCUGUGGGCAGUGCAACAUGCACAGUGGAUGCUCUGAAACCCAGACAACGAGAAAAGUCCUUGCGGUAAGAUGUUGACAUCUUGUAUUAUAGUGAGUAAUGUACUGGGAUGCGUGCCAGCCGCCGAGACCUUCAUGGGAUGGCUGCAGCAUAAGCAAUUUCAGUGCCAGUUAAUUGCACUUGAAAACACUGUGGUGGUUGUGGUAUCUAAACACAAAAUAGGCAGAGAUGUGGAGGAAUGCCUCAGGAUGUGGUGACUUUGGUGUGAAGGAAUCAAUGAAGGACUUUAAAGUUUACUCUUGUUUUCUCUGAAGAUAUUUCUCUUCCAUCUUAUGCUGGCACUAAUUCAACAGAUAUUGGUUUCUGUUAUUGUUUUUUAAUAUUAAAACCCAGAGAUUCUGUUGUCAUAGGACUGCUGGGAUGCAGUUCUCAGCCUCUAACAUAUAGAGUGGUUCUGGCUGACCUGCAGCAGUUUAUUACUUCACCACCUUUGCAUCCACCUUAAUGCUUAUGUACUGCAGAAAUGGCACACUUUGUCAUGCCUGUACUUACCCUCUUCUUAAACACCAUUACCCCAGAGAUGAGGACUCCAGUGCCAACUUAGUGUAAAGAAAGGAAGGGGAGAGCACUGGGAUCAGAGUGCUGCCUGUCUCACUUUAUGUCCUGCUAGGUAGCCCUUUACCAGUGUCUAAUUUUCCUGUCCUCCGUAAAAAGCUGUAACUUUUUAGGGUGCUUUGGGAUCUGCAGAAGAAAAGCUUUAUAGCUCUGUUAAUGCAAAUAAUUCUUCCUUAUGUUUCCAGCAGAUGUCAUCAGGCUUGUCCAGAAUCUCCUCCAGAAUAUCUACAGAAUCCUUCAUGCUAGCACCAGUGGCAGCUGAGAACAGUAAAAAGAAGUUUUGCUCAAAGAUUCUGGGGGCUAAGAACUGGAGAAGACUCAAGGAUGUGGUCCUGCUGCCAUUGUGCUGUCCUGCUUCCACGAGGGAGUUCUGACAACAGAUCUCACUCUCCUGCCUGCCAAAACUGCUUUUUGAUGGCUGCUACCGUAACAUGCUGCUGUGGAUCGGCCUGGCCCUGGGUGCCCCUCUGACAGCGCUGCCGUACUUCCAUGGCUCAUACAUCAUCUGCUGCUCGAAGGACUCCGUGCGGAGACUGCUUGUUCUCUGCCCUGCCCAGAACCCAGCUGCCACCUAUCUUCCUCCCACACAACAUACAGUGUGCAAUACAACCCCAAGUUUGAAAUAACCUUGUCUUUUGUAUGGAAGAAUCUACCAAGGAUGCAAAAUUCCAUCUGGAUACAGAGCAAAGAAUAAGGAAUUGCAGGUUCCACUGAAGUCCACGGGAUCUGAGAGCAGUGGGGCUGCUGUGACACAACCUUGCUUUUUCUCCCAAAGGGUGACCCUGGAAACCCUGUAAUGUGCUAGACUAAAGGAACUGAGAAAUGGGUCCUGAAGGCCAUUCUCAGUGAUGGUGGCAUGAGGUACUACAGGCCAUUCCCAUAUGCCCCCAGUCUCCCACUGCAGCAGAGGAUCUUGGCCACAGCUGAGAUGGCAGGAGCAGAUGUGCUCCCCACCUCCUCAGGCAACAAGCUGAGCGGCAGCCUCCACUUACAAUGGGAAGAGAUCUCUACACAGGCAGCAAUGGUAUUUCAGGAAGGUGAUUUCAACUCCAAGCAUGAAAAGCAAAUCCCCAAACUCAUCUAAGUAUGGGCCACUUGAGAUUUAUGUCUCCUGCAGUGAGGAGAUGCUUCCCAUCUCCAAGAGCAAUUUGCACUUGGAAGCUGUGCUGGGACUGACCAUAGAGAUGGCCUCAAAACUGGUGGUUACUUCAUCAUUUCAUGCACAAGAGGUUUCACCCCCCUACACCACAUAGAGUGCUAC